GGUACAGAGUCAGUGUGGAGGUUAUAUACAGGGGGUACCGGUACAGAGUCAGUGUGGAGGUUAUAUACAGGGGGUACCGGUACAGAGUCAGUGUGGAGGUUAUAUACAGGGGGUACCGGUACAGAGUCAGUGUGGAGGCUAUAUACAGGGGGUACAGGUACCGAGUCAGUGUGGAGGUUAUAUACAGGGGGUACCGGUACAGAGUCAGUGUGGAGGUUAUAUACAGGGGGUACAGGUACAGAGUCAGUGUGGAGGUUAUAUACAGGGGGUACCGGUACAGAGUCAGUGUGGAGGCUAUAUACAGGGGGUACCGGUACCGAGUCAGUGUGGAGGCUAUAUACAGGGUGUACCGGUACAGAGUCAAUGUGGAGGCUAUAUACAGGGGGUACCGGUACAGAGUCAGUGUGGAGGCUAUAUACAGG
RNAcentral lists this long non-coding RNA (422 nucleotides) under Salmo salar (Atlantic salmon). RNAcentral describes it as "lncRNA (ENSSSAG00000089558.1)". The record is from RNAcentral. Lineage: Eukaryota; Metazoa; Chordata; Actinopteri; Salmoniformes; Salmonidae.